UACGUAGGGUGCAAGCGUUAAUCGGAAUUACUGGGCGUAAAGCGUGCGCAGGCGGCUAUGCAAGACAGAUGUGAAAUCCCCGGGCUCAACCUGGGAACUGCAUUUGUGACUGCAUGGCUAGAGUACGGUAGAGGGGGAUGGAAUUCCGCGUGUAGCAGUGAAAUGCGUAGAUAUGCGGAGGAACACCGAUGGCGAAGGCAAUCCCCUGGACCUGUACUGACGCUCAUGCACGAAAGCGUAGGGAGCAAGCAGG
Molecule: ribosomal RNA, 253 nt
Filed under: uncultured bacterium
Lineage: Bacteria
Description: partial 16S ribosomal RNA
Rfam family: Bacterial small subunit ribosomal RNA
Source: RNAcentral